AUUGAACGCUGGCGGCAGGCUUAACACAUGCAAGUCGAGCGGUAGCACAGGGGAGCUUGCUCCCUGGGUGACGAGCGGCGGACGGGUGAGUAAUGUCUGGGAAACUGCCUGAUGGAGGGGGGAUAACUACUGGAAACGGUAGCUAAUACCGCAUAACGUCGCAAGACCAAAGAGGGGGACCUUCGGGCCUCUUGCCAUCAGAUGUGCCCAGAUGGGAUUAGCUAGUAGGUGGGGUAAUGGCUCACCUAGGCGACGAUCCCUAGCUGGUCUGAGAGGAUGACCAGCCACACUGGAACUGAGACACGGUCCAGACUCCUACGGGAGGCAGCAGUGGGGAAUAUUGCACAAUGGGCGCAAGCCUGAUGCAGCCAUGCCGCGUGUGUGAAGAAGGCCUUCGGGUUGUAAAGCACUUUCAGCGAGGAGGAAGGUGGUGAGCUUAAUACGUUCAUCAAUUGACGUUACUCGCAGAAGAAGCACCGGCUAACUCCGUG
Molecule: ribosomal RNA, 491 nt
Filed under: uncultured bacterium
Lineage: Bacteria
Description: partial 16S ribosomal RNA
Rfam family: Bacterial small subunit ribosomal RNA
Source: RNAcentral